GAUGAACGCUGGCGGCGUGCCUAAUACAUGCAAGUCGAGCGAACAGACGAGGAGCUUGCUCCUCUGACGUUAGCGGCGGACGGGUGAGUAACACGUGGAUAACCUACCUAUAAGACUGGGAUAACUUCGGGAAACCGGAGCUAAUACCGGAUAAUAUAUUGAACCGCAUGGUUCAAUAGUGAAAGACGGUAUUGCUGUCACUUAUAGAUGGAUCCGCGCCGCAUUAGCUAGUUGGUAAGGUAACGGCUUGCCAAGGCAACGAUGCGUAGCCGACCUGAGAGGGUGAUCGGCCACACUGGAGCUGGAACACGGUCCAGGCUCCUGCGGGAGGCAGCAGUAGGGAAUCUUCCGCAAUGGGCGAAAGCCUGACGGAGCAACGCCGCGUGAGUGAUGAAGGUCUUCGGAUCGUAAAACUCUGUUAUUAGGGAAGAACAAAUGUGUAAGUAACUAUGCACGUCUUGACGGUACCUAAUCAGAAAGCCACGGCUAACUACGUG
Molecule: ribosomal RNA, 497 nt
Filed under: uncultured bacterium
Lineage: Bacteria
Description: partial 16S ribosomal RNA
Rfam family: Bacterial small subunit ribosomal RNA
Source: RNAcentral